GGAAUCUGCCUGGUAGUGGGGGACAACGUUUCGAAAGGAACGCUAAUACCGCAUACGUCCUACGGGAGAAAGCAGGGGACCUUCGGGCCUUGCGCUAUCAGAUGAGCCUAGGUCGGAUUAGCUAGUUGGUGAGGUAAUGGCUCACCAAGGCGACGAUCCGUAACUGGUCUGAGAGGAUGAUCAGUCACACUGGAACUGAGACACGGUCCAGACUCCUACGGGAGGCAGCAGUGGGGAAUAUUGGACAAUGGGCGAAAGCCUGAUCCAGCCAUGCCGCGUGUGUGAAGAAGGUCUUCGGAUUGUAAAGCACUUUAAGUUGGGAGGAAGGGUUGUAGAUUAAUACUCUGCAAUUUUGACGUUACCGACAGAAUAAGCACCGGCUAACUCUGUGCCAGCAGCCGCGGUAAUACAGAGGGUGCAAGCGUUAAUCGGAAUUACUGGGCGUAAAGCGCGCGUAGGUGGUUUGUUAAGUUGGAUGUGAAAGCCCCGGGCUCAACCUGGGAACUGCAUCCAAAACUGGCAAGCUAGAGUACGGUAGAGGGUGGUGGAAUUUCCUGUGUAGCGGUGAAAUGCGUAGAUAUAGGAAGGAACACCAGUGGCGAAGGCGACCACCUGGACUGAUACUGACACUGAGGUGCGAAAGCGUGGGGAGCAAACAGGAUUAGAUACCCUGGUAGUCCACGCCGUAAACGAUGUCAACUAGCCGUUGGAAUCCUUGAGAUUUUAGUGGCGCAGCUAACGCAU
This 744-nucleotide ribosomal RNA is filed under the name Pseudomonas sp. Its description in RNAcentral is "bacterial SSU rRNA". It matches the Rfam family "Bacterial small subunit ribosomal RNA", at positions 121 to 860 of the family's 1533-position model. Lineage: Bacteria; Pseudomonadati; Pseudomonadota; Gammaproteobacteria; Pseudomonadales; Pseudomonadaceae. The record is from RNAcentral.